RNAcentral lists this ribosomal RNA (599 nucleotides) under Enterobacter kobei. Its description in RNAcentral is "bacterial SSU rRNA". It matches the Rfam family "Bacterial small subunit ribosomal RNA", at positions 60 to 650 of the family's 1533-position model. The record is from RNAcentral. Lineage: Bacteria; Pseudomonadati; Pseudomonadota; Gammaproteobacteria; Enterobacterales; Enterobacteriaceae.
AGUCGACGGUAGCACAGAGAGCUUGCUCUCGGGUGACGAGUGGCGGACGGGUGAGUAAUGUCUGGGAAACUGCCUGAUGGAGGGGGAUAACUACUGGAAACGGUAGCUAAUACCGCAUAACGUCGCAAGACCAAAGAGGGGGACCUUCGGGCCUCUUGCCAUCAGAUGUGCCCAGAUGGGAUUAGCUAGUAGGUGGGGUAACGGCUCACCUAGGCGACGAUCCCUAGCUGGUCUGAGAGGAUGACCAGCCACACUGGAACUGAGACACGGUCCAGACUCCUACGGGAGGCAGCAGUGGGGAAUAUUGCACAAUGGGCGCAAGCCUGAUGCAGCCAUGCCGCGUGUAUGAAGAAGGCCUUCGGGUUGUAAAGUACUUUCAGCGGGGAGGAAGGGUGUUGUGGUUAAUAACCACAGCAAUUGACGUUACCCGCAGAAGAAGCACCGGCUAACUCCGUGCCAGCAGCCGCGGUAAUACGGAGGGUGCAAGCGUUAAUCGGAAUUACUGGGCGUAAAGCGCACGCAGGCGGUCUGUCAAGUCGGAUGUGAAAUCCCCGGGCUCAACCUGGGAACUGCAUUCGAAACUGGCAGGCUAGAGUCUU